Long non-coding RNA from Cygnus olor (mute swan), 909 nucleotides. RefSeq lists it as uncharacterized. The transcript is spliced from 7 exons. The record is from RefSeq and is a predicted model, not a curated record. NCBI's taxonomy places the organism in Eukaryota, Metazoa, Chordata, Aves, Anseriformes, Anatidae.
GUUUCCUGGUGUUAGGCCUGCAUUGCAUAUAUUUAAGGUUGUGAUAGUGUUUUCCCUUGAAGUGUGUCUGGCAGAUGUGAUUUUGGUAUGAAAUGGGACCAAGCUGGAGAAUGACUUUGUUCUGAAGACAAUUUCCAUUGUGCAUAAAAUAGCCUGAGUCAGGAGCAUCAGAUCAGAGAUCACCUUUUUGCACCCAGCUGCUGAAACUGUUGUUGUACUCUGGAGACAUUUAUUUAACUGAAGUAACAGGGCAGUGAUCACUGCAGAGAACUGGGACUUCCUUUCUCCAUUCAAAGAACUAAAGUUGCUAUUGUUGUAAAAAUAUUGAAGUAAUUCUUUUCCACCAAAGGAACACUAGGUGAAGACUGACCUUUACAUGAAACAACAGGAAUAUGUGAAAGAUGACACAAGAGCAGAGGAAAUAAGAGAGGUGCUGAAGUGAUAUCUUUGGCUCUCCGUUAACGGAUUUCAAAAUAUAUCACAGAACAGUUUGUGAGAAGUAGGGUUAGACAUUGCAUGGGAUUAGCAGAAUUUUUCUUUGCAGUACAUGUAGAAAUUUUCCAUUCUCAAUCAGAACAAAGAUGAAACUUGCAAUCACAAAAAUCUGCUUUGAAUUUCUCUUCUCAUUCUCCAUCCUUAAGAAUUAAUCCUCAUACAGGAAUUACUGAAGCACUGAAGUAGAACUGUUGUCUGGUAUCCAAUACAAGGAAUGAAGAUAGUAGUUCUGGUGACAAUUCUACUGGGAAAGAAUUAACCCUGGAUUUGCUAAACUUUCUGGUUGGAGACAAGAAGACAGUUGGCCCUCAAAUGGGUCUGGAGAAACUCAGGUUGAGGUCAGGGCACUGCCUAUUUCAAGGUGCCUCACAUCACUAAGAUAUUUUGGAUGGUCUCUUUCCAGCUAUUCACAGA